CCUACGGGAGGCAGCAGUGAGGAAUAUUGGUCAAUGGACGAGAGUCUGAACCAGCCAAGUAGCGUGAAGGAUGACUGCCCUAUGGGUUGUAAACUUCUUUUAUAAAGGAAUAAAACGAGGCCCGUGUGCCUUUUUGCAUGUACUUUAUGAAUAAGGAUCGGCUAACUCCGUGACAGCAGCCGCGGUAAUACGGAGGAUCCGACCGUUCUCCGGGUUUAUUGGGUUUAAAGGGAGCGUAGAUGGGUUGGUAAGUUAGUUGUGAAAGUUUGCGGCUUAACCGUAAAAUUGCAAUUGAUACUGGCAGUCUUGAGUACAGUUGAGGUAGGCGGAAUUCGAGGUGUAGCGGUGAAAUGCUUAGAU
RNAcentral lists this ribosomal RNA (360 nucleotides) under uncultured bacterium. Its description in RNAcentral is "partial 16S ribosomal RNA". It matches the Rfam family "Bacterial small subunit ribosomal RNA", at positions 338 to 695 of the family's 1533-position model. The record is from RNAcentral.